RNAcentral lists this unclassified non-coding RNA (337 nucleotides) under soil metagenome. Its description in RNAcentral is "partial contains 5.8S ribosomal RNA, internal transcribed spacer 2, and large subunit ribosomal RNA". The stretch from base 1 to 120 matches the Rfam family "5.8S ribosomal RNA", at positions 35 to 154 of the family's 154-position model. The record is from RNAcentral.
GAUGAAGAACGUAGCGAAAUGCGAUAAGUAAUGUGAAUUGCAGAAUUCAGUGAAUCAUCGUAUCUUUGAACGCACAUUGCGCCCGCCAGCAUUCUGGCGGGCAUGCCUGUUCGAGCGUCAUUUCAACCCUCAAGCUCUGCUUGGUGUUGGGGCCCUACGGUUGACGUAGGCCCUUAAAGGUAGUGGCGGACCCUCUCGGAGCCUCCUUUGCGUAGUAACUAACGUCUCGCAUUGGGAUUCGGAGGGACUCUUGCCGUAAAACCCCCAAAUUUUCUAAUGGUUGACCUCGGAUCAGGUAGGAAUACCCGCUGAACUUAAGCAUAUCAAUAAGCGGAGA